UUUUGCUUGCUUUUGCUGGAGCUCACUGAAUCCACUGAUCUGCUGACAAUCAGUUAUCAGAAAAAUACAAGUCAAUUGAUAUUUAAUUAAUUUGAUUAAUAAAAAUGAAAAAAGGUAGUGCUUCCAAAAGUCAUGGACGCUUUGUUGUUGUUGGUGGUCAUGAUGAUGACCCAAGCGACGAGAUGGUGCAGUCUUGCUAACGUGAAAAGCCAAUUGUUAAUUGAGUCUAUGAUGUAGAAUUUUUACAACCAAAUCCAAGAUGAAUUGAUGCAUCAUCAAGUUAAAAAUAUUUCAUCAAGGUGGCGUCAUGAUGAUUGUUCUUGCAAGCCACACAAGGGUCUGAUAAAUAUUUCCUGGCAUUGGUAUAUGUCCACAUGAAAUUUCAAAAGGUAAUAAUCAUUUUUAUUAAUAUGUAUUUUAAAAAACUACGCCACUUUUCGAGUCGAUUCUUUUCUUAUAUAUUAGAGUCGACGAGGAGUCCUUUCGGCUUUUUGGGGGCUUAAAAGUGGCCACAUUAAAAUGCUGUACCAAGAUUGUCCAAAAGAAUUGAAUAACAAUUAGAGAUUAUUUCUUGGUCAAGUGAUGAUUCAAUAAAACAAAAAAGUUUCAAUUGGAUUCAUUGAUACCAGUUCCAGAUUUUGUUCAUGGUCUCAAACUUCUGUUGAGGAUUAUUCAACAACAAUCCCAUUACUUGGAGAAAAAAAAAU
This is a long non-coding RNA of Aphidius gifuensis, 707 nucleotides long. RefSeq lists it as uncharacterized. The transcript is spliced from 5 exons. Lineage: Eukaryota; Metazoa; Arthropoda; Insecta; Hymenoptera; Braconidae. The record is from RefSeq and is a predicted model, not a curated record.